GAUUGGGUCAGUCAAGGACCUUGUUGUGCAGAGCGGAUGCAACUUUUCAAUAGCUGAGAUUCUUUGCAUGGAGAGUUUUAUACUAGAUGAGCUGAACUGGGACCUGUACGCCACGACACCAAUCGACUUCCUUUGCAUGUUCAAUGCCGUUGAUCUCUAGACAUCCCCACCUUCCUACCAUGGGUCCUGAGACUCAGAAGAGGCCUUGCUUCCAGGUGGCAUUGUGGACCAGGCAUGUGCAGCACUGUAUGGCCUGCCACCAGCUGUCGCAUUUCAAAGGCUCCACACUGGCCUUGGCCAUCAUUACCUUGGAGUUGGAGAGACUCACCCCAGACUGGUUCUCCGUCUUCGCCGAUCUGCUGAGGAAAACAUAGAUUCAGAGCAUCCACUGCAAGGAGAUGGUUGACAAAUAAUACAGUACCUCACCAGCCUGGAGUUCUCCCUGCUAGCCACAGAAGUGUACAUAUUUUAACAUGACCAAGCAGCACCAGGAUGAUGAGGGGGCCUGCAGGGAGACUGGGACUCAGGCAGACCAGGAGACACAAGUUCUACGAUGGUUUUGGGUGCCUAUACAAUGACGUGUUGGUUCUGGAGGUCAGCGGGGUCCCCCAUGAGGCCCACCAGAAUGUGAGCCAAUAUCCUGUUGGACUGAUGAACAGGUCUGAGUGCAUGUGUGGGGGUUUGUGUUUAUAUUUUGCGAUUGAGGACAUAGAAUACUUUAUCAUGAACGUGGAACUGCCUCUUCCUUACCUAUUUAGAGCUUUUUAUAUACAAUAUUUUUAGUUUUUACUUCCUUGUUCUAAAACAUGUUUGUUCUGUUGACCUCCAAGUUAUUCACUAACUAAUUUUACAAAAUGCUUUAUUUACAAGUGACAAUGUGCUGCAAAGACGUUUUAUUAUUCAUUUAAAGGUGGUCACAUCUCAGAAGCAAUGUGAGGUAGUGUUAUAACACGUGCUUCUUUAUUUACCACUAGCAUGGAACUUCGGUUUGGGAUACAGUGGAGUAUUGUAAUGCUGUCUAAUACAUUGUCAUUGAUGUUACGGUUUUCCAAAUUGUGUGACGAUCUCUUCGGUCGUUUCUGAUAAAUCAGCUAUGUUACUCUUUUGUCCCCAGAAUGAAGCUAUAGCAGAGAAACAUUACAUUUCAUGAUCACACUUGUUAAUGAUAAUUAUCCAUAAGCCAUCAUCCCUUUCCACCUUUUCCAAACUGGCAAAAUAACUGAAUUCCAUACACAUGAUUACGCAAUAUAGUCUGCCAUUUCAAUUGGUCAUGUUGGUAAAUGGAUGACAGAGCUCUGUUCUACUUUGGGUUGGGUUUUAUAAUCAUAUUUUUGAAUUUGCCCUCAGGAGAAAAUAGAAUUCCUGCUCAAACCUCUUACAAUCCAGUAAAUAAAUGUUCCCCCUCCCAAAUCCAAUAA
This is a non-coding RNA of Oncorhynchus mykiss (rainbow trout), 1418 nucleotides long. NCBI's taxonomy places the organism in Eukaryota, Metazoa, Chordata, Actinopteri, Salmoniformes, Salmonidae. The record is from RefSeq and is a predicted model, not a curated record.